Molecule: long non-coding RNA, 1184 nt
Filed under: Orbicella faveolata
Lineage: Eukaryota; Metazoa; Cnidaria; Anthozoa; Scleractinia; Merulinidae
Description: uncharacterized LOC110045654, transcript variant X1
Source: RNAcentral
UGCAAACCACUUUUGAGUCAGUUGCUAUAUAGUUUUUGAAACUUUUGCCAUCUCCAACAGUGUGUGCUCAGUUUCUACUCUUGAGGUAAAAUAUGUAAGGUUUUAGUAGUGAAUACUAUUUUACUCGCUAACUGAAUGAAAUACCGUUGAAAGACACACCGAUUUACUUCUUUGGGUAAUAUGAAAACAUAGGUUGAUUUCCAGUGGGCAUCGCCUGCAAAUGAUGCACAAUCUCUGUUAUCUUAGCUUUAAAAUCUCGUGAUUAAACAUGAAGUGAUUUAAAAAAUCUUAUAAUCAGGCCUGUAAAUGCGUAUUUCAGUAUUUCUGGUUUACAUUGUUUUAUUUUGUAUUGUCAUUCUUCUACUUUGUUUAUUGUUGAUAUUCAGGGUGUUCUUGUCUGAUUUUUUUUUUCGGUUUGUUUUUUCUUUCUUGUUGUUGGAGUUCAAACAAUGAAUCGAAGCCAGCUUGUGAUUUCAAUGAUUUUCACUUUAAUGGUAAGUUCACAGCAAACUUUCAUUACUUUUGAGGGUUCACAGUUGCCUUGAGGGUUGAAGUCUCAAAUCUUUUCUUCAUUUUAGGUUUACUUUUGGUGAAGGGACAAGAAUCAAGACGGGCUUACAUGCCGUAACUCAGUCAUGUAUAGUUGAUUCGCCCUGCAGAUCCAAACCAGAGGGUUAGGGUUUAGGAAAAACAAGGCAAGACAAACGCUGCAAAGACUUGCCGAUGAACGAAAAUUGUUUUACGUCUCACCGGGGCUGACUUCAACACGUCAUUUGGAGGAUACGUAUCAUUUCAAUGCUGUAAUUCUGAUCCUUUACUAUGCUACAUUAAAUAACGAGGAGAUUUCAUGUUGAAUUGAAAGAAGUUAAUCGCACCAAUUGCAAUUGGAGACCGAUGCUACAUAAGAUAGCCGCAAGCUCUCAUCGUGUAGUGUUUUUUUUCUCCUUUGGUGAAUAUGCACAAAUAUAUUUAAUAAAGAACGCGAAAACUCGCUAAACAUUUAGUCAGAUUUAAAUGCAUCGAAGAAAAAAAACAUAAUAUUUUGGAACGAAAAGAAUUACGUUUUUAUAGGUUAUUUGUUAAUUCUUCGUCCUUUGGCCUGAAAGUAGUAUGCGCUUUUAAACGGUGCCUGGAAUUAUUUCAGAAAAAAAAAAAAGUCUUUUGGCGGGAAAAAACUCUGUGUC